AAUGCUGUGAUGAGGUGAAGCACCAUAUGGUGUUUAAGGGCAGUGGAAGAGAGUUUAAUAGCUUUCUCCGUGAGCCUAUUUUAUUAACGACUUCUCCUUCCACUGAGCAUU
Lycium barbarum (goji berry) is the source of this 111-nucleotide small nucleolar RNA. RefSeq annotates it as small nucleolar RNA Z152/R70/R12. The transcript has a single exon. The record is from RefSeq and is a predicted model, not a curated record. NCBI's taxonomy places the organism in Eukaryota, Viridiplantae, Streptophyta, Magnoliopsida, Solanales, Solanaceae.